GGGGCUUUGGUCUAGUGGCAUGAUAUUCCCUUCGGGUGGGAGUGGUCGGGGGUUCGAUUCCCCCAAGCCCCC
RNAcentral lists this transfer RNA (72 nucleotides) under Micromonas pusilla CCMP1545. It matches the Rfam family "tRNA". From Rfam's summary of the family: Transfer RNA (tRNA) molecules are approximately 80 nucleotides in length. Their secondary structure includes four short double-helical elements and three loops (D, anti-codon, and T loops). The record is from Rfam by way of RNAcentral. Lineage: Eukaryota; Viridiplantae; Chlorophyta; Mamiellophyceae; Mamiellales; Mamiellaceae.